AGACCCGAAACCCGGUGAUCUAGCCAUGGGCAGGUUGAAGGUUGGGUAACACUAACUGGAGGACCGAACCGACUAAUGUUGAAAAAUUAGCGGAUGACCUGUGGCUGGGGGUGAAAGGCCAAUCAAACCGGGAGAUAGCUGGUUCUCCCCGAAAGCUAUUUAGGUAGCGCCUCGUGAAUUCAUCUCCGGGGGUAGAGCACUGUUUCGGCUAGGGGGCCAUCCCGGCUUACCAACCCGAUGCAAACUGCGAAUACCGGAGAAUGUUAUCACGGGAGACACACGGCGGGUGCUAACGUCCGUCGUGAAGAGGGAAACAACCCAGACCGCCAGCUAAGGUCCCAAAGUCAUAGUUAAGUGGGAAACGAUGUGGGAAGGCCCAGACAGCCAGGAUGUUGGCUUAGAAGCAGCCAUCAUUUAAAGAAAGCGUAAUAGCUCACUGGUCGAGUCGGCCUGCGCGGAAGAUGUAACGGGGCUAAACUAUGCACCGAAGCUGCGGCAGCGACACUAUGUGUUGUUGGGUAGGGGAGCGUUCUGUAAGCCUGUGAAGGUGUGUCGUGAGGCAUGCUGGAGGUAUCAGAAGUGCGAAUGCUGACAUAAGUAACGAUAAAGCGGGUGAAAAGCCCGCUCGCCGGAAGACCAAGGGUUCCUGUCCAACGUUAAUCGGGGCAGGGUGAGUCGACCCCUAAGGCGAGGCCGAAAGGCGUAGUCGAUGGGAAACGGGUUAAUAUUCCCGUACUUGGUGUUACUGCGAAGGGGGGACGGAGAAGGCUAUGUUGGCCGGGCGACGGUUGUCCCGGUUUAAGCGUGUAGGUGUGUGUUCCAGGUAAAUCCGGUUCACUUUAACACUGAGGCGUGA
Molecule: ribosomal RNA, 856 nt
Filed under: Salmonella enterica
Lineage: Bacteria; Pseudomonadati; Pseudomonadota; Gammaproteobacteria; Enterobacterales; Enterobacteriaceae
Also listed under: 1 other name
Description: bacterial LSU rRNA
Rfam family: Bacterial large subunit ribosomal RNA
Source: RNAcentral